This 99-nucleotide non-coding RNA is filed under the name Bacillus manliponensis. RNAcentral's name for it is "SAM-I sequence". It matches the Rfam family "SAM riboswitch aptamer (S box leader)". From Rfam's summary of the family: The SAM riboswitch is found upstream of a number of genes which code for proteins involved in methionine or cysteine biosynthesis in Gram-positive bacteria. The SAM riboswitch acts at the level of transcription termination control. The record is from Rfam by way of RNAcentral. Lineage: Bacteria; Bacillati; Bacillota; Bacilli; Caryophanales; Bacillaceae.
UUCUUAUCCAGAGAGGUGGAGGGACUGGCCCGAUGAAACCCAGCAACCGCAUUGCAGGUGCUAAUUCCAGCAGAACAAUUUUGUUCUGACAGAUAAGAA